RNAcentral lists this long non-coding RNA (770 nucleotides) under Homo sapiens (human). RNAcentral's name for it is "HSALNT0063887". The record is from RNAcentral. Lineage: Eukaryota; Metazoa; Chordata; Mammalia; Primates; Hominidae.
CUUGAAUCUGCUUUGAGUAUUGUAUAAUAAAGGUAAAAUAAGAAGACCGACAGACUUUGAGGUACUACAGAUAUCAAGAAACAGUUUAUGUUUAUGUUGAUAUGAAGAAGUGUAUAUCUGAGCAAAGGAGUGCCCCCUUCCCUUCUCCGAUGGUAGGACCAAGAAUAUGGUCCUGGAAUGACCAGAAGCGGACCAAGAAUAUGGUUCUAGAAUGACCAGAAGAGGAUAAACAGGCAACCCCUUAAGAAGCAGGACAUGGAAUAUUUUGUCAUUUUCAUUCUGAGGAACAGACUGGUUGGGUGCACUAGGCAGCUGAUAUGAUGGGAAAUCCUGCUGUCCAUGAAAGAAAGUUAAUGGAUUUUUAUAAUGGUGCCAAUCAUAUGGUAGAAAUUAUCCUUUCAAUAUUAGAGAAUUUGAUUAAAGGAAUUACGUGAAUUAGAAAUUUUGAAGAAUUUCAUUGAAAAGCAUUUUAAAGAUUAUAAAAACAUUCUCCUAUGGAUUGAAAAGUUUGAUCCAUUUUGGAAUUCAUUUUGAUGUAGCCAAAUGUGAGGUUAUACACAUCUACAAGCAAGGACUGGAUGUUCUAUGUCAUGGAUCUCCCAAAACCCCUGGCACCAUUGGUUGACGGUCCAAAGUAUUUGACUUGCUAAAGAAUCUUUCCCUCCUAGAAGUAUAAAAUUCUACUUUAUUUUCCCUAUAAAAACAAACAAAAUAACUAUAUAUAUAUGCUGAUAUUGAACCAGAAUUACAAAUAAUUUGUAAUGUCAGAU